Long non-coding RNA from Alexandromys fortis (reed vole), 1427 nucleotides. RefSeq lists it as uncharacterized. The transcript is spliced from 2 exons. Lineage: Eukaryota; Metazoa; Chordata; Mammalia; Rodentia; Cricetidae. The record is from RefSeq and is a predicted model, not a curated record.
AUCCCAUUCUGUGUAUAGCUGAACACCAGAGUCAAGGAGCUUUGGUAAAUGAUUGUUCACUAACCUUGAUCUGCCUGUAAAUAAAUGGUCCUCCUGCCUCUUAGAGUUCCAAGUUGACUCUUGUCAAUAUCACAGCUCUAGGCCUUAGCAUAGGCUGGGUAACCACUGCCCCAGGACAGGAAGGUACUGACUUCUUGGGGAUGUCAUGAUUUCUAUGAGACCCAAAUCUACUGAACGGCUCCAGGUAGCCGUGGUCAUUCUGAUUGGGCAGAAAGCAGAGGCAUUUCUGGCCUCCUCUCAUGACAGUGGCCUUUUCCUCUAUCAUACUGACCACAGCUCUGAUCUAUGCAUUUGUUCCCUCUCAAAACACAAAGACAACGCUGCCAGGAAACCAAACCAAUCCAGCUAAGCUACAGCAAGGAGAAAGUCUGGGAAAAUCCGCAGAAUUCCCCCACCUCCCAGAGACCAGGCUGGCCUCGAACUCAGAGAUCCACCUGCCUCUGCCACCACACCCAGAUUCCACCAAAUUUCUCAAAACUCAGCAGCAGAAAUGUCCGGAAGCACCCCACUGGUGAUGGUCCAAGAGGGACAAGUCUGGUUCAGCUGAAAGCAGGGAAACUGCCAGUUGAAUCCAAAGGGCAAUCCAGAUGGCACCUCCAUGUUCAGGCCCAUCAGCCGGGGCAGAAGCCAGGAGUCACUGCCUUUGGGGCCUUCAAGGUUGUGCCACCCUAUCCCUCAGAUAGUUCCUGGAGUGAGCUGCUCUGGACACUUAGAAACAUGCAUCUGUUUUAGGAAACAGAAAGGCUCUCCUAUCCUGGGGCCUGGGGCCUGACCUCGGGUUACCAGGCUGAAGCACAGGUGCCCUCACUCCGAGUCAUCUUCCUAACAGUGUAACUUGAAGACACCUGGCCACGAGCUGCCAGGCAGCCCCACUCCUCGCAUCAUCAGCUGCUCCUCCCUUCCUGCUUCCCUGCUGCCUACAACAAGAGCUGCAUCCAAGCUUACAGCCCAUCAAGGUCCUGGGGUUGGGGGAGCGAGUUUAAGACCAAACCCAGUGGCUGGUACUUCUGGGAUAGAGACAGGGAGCAGGGGAGUAGACCUCUUGGGAAGGAAUCCAAUCAGGAUCCAGGUACUUAAAUUUAGCAGACCCCAAGGAAAAGCUGGACAAAGUCACACAGAGACAGCUAAGGAUAGUGGGAAACACCACUUUGCAUCCCCACUAUCAGAGUCAGGCCCCCAAAAUGCUCCAACAACUGCAGUCACAGGAUGGCCCUGCCUGGGAAUGACUUUUAAGUGACCACCCUCAAGUGAAGAGCACUCUGUGUAAUUGGAGGUUGGGAAACAAUCAUGCCAGCACCUCACCUGAACUUGACAAUUUGGGGGGCGGGGCAGGAUUUGAGAAAGAGUUUCUCUGUGUAGUCCUGGCU